RNAcentral lists this ribosomal RNA (407 nucleotides) under uncultured bacterium. Its description in RNAcentral is "partial 16S ribosomal RNA". It matches the Rfam family "Bacterial small subunit ribosomal RNA", at positions 30 to 526 of the family's 1533-position model. The record is from RNAcentral.
AUUGAACGCUAGCGGCAUGCCUAACACAUGCAAGUCGAGCGGAGCGGCGGACGGGUGAGUAAUGUCUAGGAAUCUGCCCGGUAGUGGGGGAUAACGUCCGGAAACGGGAGCUAAUACCGCAUACUAUCAGAUGAGCCUAGGUCGGAAUAGCUAGUUGGUGGGGUAAAGGCAUACCAAGGCGACGAUCCGUAACUGGUCUGAGAGGAUGAUCAGUCACACUGGAACUGAGACACGGUCCAGACUCCUACGGGAGGCAGCAGUGGGGAAUAUUGGACAAUGGGCGAAAGCCUGAUCCAGCCAUGCCGCGUGUGUGAUGAAGGUCUUCGGGUUGUAAAGCACUUUAAGUUGGGAGGCGUUACCUACAGAAUAAGCACCGGCUAACUUCGUGCCAGCCGCCGCGGUAAUAC